UACAGAGGCCACGAGCGUUAGGCGGAAUCACUGGGCUUAAAGCGUGUGUAGGCGGACUUCUAAGUACCUUGUGAAAUCCCACGGCUCACCCGUGGAACUGCUGGGUAUACUGGUCGUCUUGAGCCACCUAGGGGCGAGCGGAACAAAUGGUGGAGCGGUGAAAUGCGUAGAUAUCAUUUGGAACGCCAACGGUGAAAACAGCUCGCUGGGGGUGUGCUGACGCUGAGACACGAAAGCCAGGGUAGCGAACGGG
This 253-nucleotide ribosomal RNA is filed under the name uncultured bacterium. RNAcentral describes it as "partial 16S ribosomal RNA". It matches the Rfam family "Bacterial small subunit ribosomal RNA", at positions 524 to 776 of the family's 1533-position model. The record is from RNAcentral.